Molecule: ribosomal RNA, 718 nt
Filed under: Escherichia coli
Lineage: Bacteria; Pseudomonadati; Pseudomonadota; Gammaproteobacteria; Enterobacterales; Enterobacteriaceae
Description: partial 23S ribosomal RNA
Rfam family: Bacterial large subunit ribosomal RNA
Source: RNAcentral
GAAAGGCGCGCGAUACAGGGUGACAGCCCCGUACACAAAAAUGCACAUGCUGUGAGCUCGAUGAGUAGGGCGGGACACGUGGUAUCCUGUCUGAAUAUGGGGGGACCAUCCUCCAAGGCUAAAUACUCCUGACUGACCGAUAGUGAACCAGUACCGUGAGGGAAAGGCGAAAAGAACCCCGGCGAGGGGAGUGAAAAAGAACCUGAAACCGUGUACGUACAAGCAGUGGGAGCACGCUUAGGCGUGUGACUGCGUACCUUUUGUAUAAUGGGUCAGCGACUUAUAUUCUGUAGCAAGGUUAACCGAAUAGGGGAGCCGAAGGGAAACCGAGUCUUAACUGGGCGUUAAGUUGCAGGGUAUAGACCCGAAACCCGGUGAUCUAGCCAUGGGCAGGUUGAAGGUUGGGUAACACUAACUGGAGGACCGAACCGACUAAUGUUGAAAAAUUAGCGGAUGACUUGUGGCUGGGGGUGAAAGGCCAAUCAAACCGGGAGAUAGCUGGUUCUCCCCGAAAGCUAUUUAGGUAGCGCCUCGUGAAUUCAUCUCCGGGGGUAGAGCACUGUUUCGGCAAGGGGGUCAUCCCGACUUACCAACCCGAUGCAAACUGCGAAUACCGGAGAAUGUUAUCACGGGAGACACACGGCGGGUGCUAACGUCCGUCGUGAAGAGGGAAACAACCCAGACCGCCAGCUAAGGUCCCAAAGUCAUGGUUAAGUGG